Molecule: ribosomal RNA, 253 nt
Filed under: uncultured bacterium
Lineage: Bacteria
Description: partial 16S ribosomal RNA
Rfam family: Bacterial small subunit ribosomal RNA
Source: RNAcentral
UACGUAGGGGGCUAGCGUUGUCCGGAAUCAUUGGGCGUAAAGCGCUCGCAGGUGGUUCGAUGCGUCGUGCGUGAAAGACCCCGGCUCAACUGGGGAGGGUCGUGCGAUACGGUCGAACUGGAGGCCAGUAGGGGGAUGCGGAAUUCCGGGUGUAGUGGUGGAAUGCGUAGAGAUCCGGAGGAACACCAGCGGCGAAGGCGGCAUCCUGGACUGGUCCUGACACUCAGGAGCGAAAGCGUGGGGAGCAAACAGG